GGUUAACUCCGCUAAUGGUGAUUGCAACCCCAUACACAAUGUGCUCACGUAUUUUCUCAGUUUCAACCUGGCUGGUGGUAGGCUAAUGUGGAAGACUACCUUGUGUUUAAGCUAGCGCCCUUGGAAGGCGAAAUGAGUUUUCACGGUGCUUAUGGUGCUUACGUUACUGAGGUCAUGGUGCUCAAGGUGCAAGAACUAAGCCAGAAGAAUAAAGGUGCCUGGUGUAAAGGCAGAACAUCCUGCAGAGUGGACUGAUGCUUCACAGAGUCAUAGAAAAAUGAUUUAUUUAUUAUAUUUAAAGUGCUUUGAGUGCCUUAGUGGUGGAAAAGUGCUAUACUUGUACAAGUGAAAGACCAUUUACCAUUUACCAUAUUUUACAUAGCAAAAAAAGACUGCUAGUUUUUUCCUCGUUUGCCAUUUUGGGAGUGAAUUGAGUUACUAGGCAUUUAAAUAUUGCCACAUGGGAAUAAUGACAUUAUUGAAGAAAAAUGGAUGGAUGGAUGAAAAUUGAUCUACUUCAUUAUUUGAAUUCUAGAUUUUAAAAAUUGAAUAAUUAUAACAUUAUCACUCAUAAAAAUCGGUUGCCAUGUCUGCAUUCUUCACAGUUUUGCAAGUGUAAAAAAUAAGUUCAACAUUGUUGCAUACCAGUCAACAUUUGCAUUUGAAAAGAACUUUUUCGAAAAUACGGGAAAUUUAAGCUGGAAUGGGGGCUAUUAAAGCUUGUGUUAAAGUGAC
Long non-coding RNA from Dunckerocampus dactyliophorus (ringed pipefish), 735 nucleotides. RefSeq lists it as uncharacterized. The record is from RefSeq and is a predicted model, not a curated record. NCBI's taxonomy places the organism in Eukaryota, Metazoa, Chordata, Actinopteri, Syngnathiformes, Syngnathidae. The transcript is spliced from 4 exons.